Non-coding RNA from Pelobates cultripes (western spadefoot toad), 214 nucleotides. The record is from the annotation of a GenBank genome assembly. Lineage: Eukaryota; Metazoa; Chordata; Amphibia; Anura; Pelobatidae.
GGAGGGGUGACUAGUGACAGAGGGAGGGGGUGACACAGUGACAGAGUGAGGGAGAUGGUGACUAGUGACAGAAUGAGGGAGGUGGUGAAUGCCACUAGUCACCCCAUCCCUCCCUCUGUCACUAGUCACUCCCUACCUAACUCUGUCACUAGUCACCUCCUUCCUCACUCUGUCACUAGUCACCCCCUCCCUCUGUCACUAGUCAUCCCCUCCC